This 252-nucleotide ribosomal RNA is filed under the name uncultured bacterium. RNAcentral describes it as "partial 16S ribosomal RNA". It matches the Rfam family "Bacterial small subunit ribosomal RNA", at positions 524 to 775 of the family's 1533-position model. The record is from RNAcentral.
UACGGGGGGGGCAAGCGUUGUUCGGAAUUACUGGGCGUAAAGGGCUCGUAGGUGGCCGACUAAGUCAGACGUGAAAUCCCUUGGCUUAACCAGGGAACUGCGUCUGAUACUGGAUGGCUUGAGUUCGGGAGAGGGAUGCGGAAUUCCAGGUGUAGCGGUGAAAUGCGUAGAUAUCUGGAGGAACACCGGUGGCGAAGGCGGCAUCCUGGACCGACACUGACACUGAGGAGCGAAAGCCAGGGGAGCAAACGG